UACGUAGGGGGCAAGCGUUGUCCGGAUUUAUUGGGCGUAAAGAGCGUGUAGGCGGCCAGGUAGGUCUGGUGUGAAAACUCGAGGCUUAACCUCGAGAUGUCAUCGGAAACCAUUUGGCUAGAGUCCGGAAGAGGAGAGUGGAAUUCCUGGUGUAGCGGUGAAAUGCGCAGAUAUCAGGAGGAACACCGGUGGCGAAGGCGGAUCUCUGGGCCUUACCUGACGCUGAGGCGCGAAAGCUAGGGGAGCGAACAGG
RNAcentral lists this ribosomal RNA (253 nucleotides) under uncultured bacterium. RNAcentral describes it as "partial 16S ribosomal RNA". It matches the Rfam family "Bacterial small subunit ribosomal RNA", at positions 524 to 776 of the family's 1533-position model. The record is from RNAcentral.